This 433-nucleotide ribosomal RNA is filed under the name uncultured bacterium. Its description in RNAcentral is "partial 16S ribosomal RNA". It matches the Rfam family "Bacterial small subunit ribosomal RNA", at positions 29 to 507 of the family's 1533-position model. The record is from RNAcentral.
AACGAACGCUGGCGGCAUGCCUAACACAUGCAAGUCGAACGAGACCUUCGGGUCUAGUGGCGCACGGGUGCGUAACGCGUGGGAAUCUGCCCUUGGGUUCGGAAUAACAGUUGGAAACGACUGCUAAUACCGGAUGAUGACGUAAGUCCAAAGAUUUAUCGCCCAGGGAUGAGCCCGCGUAGGAUUAGCUAGUUGGUGGGGUAAAGGCCUACCAAGGCGACGAUCCUUAGCUGGUCUGAGAGGAUGAUCAGCCACACUGGGACUGAGACACGGCCCAGACUCCUACGGGAGGCAGCAGGGGGGAAUAUUGGACAAUGGGCGAAAGCCUGAUCCAGCAAUGCCGCGUGAGUGAUGAAGGCCUUAGGGUUGUAAAGCUCUUUUACCCGGGAUGAUAAUGACAGUACCGGGAGAAUAAGCCCCGGCUAACUCCGUG